UAACAACUGUACAAGGGUUUAGAAUACCUGUUAUUGUCUGAGUGGAAUCUAUGAUUUCUCUAUUUUUAUUAUUCUGGAUUGCUUUUACUUAAAAAAGCUUUAUUUUUACUUGCUAUUCUAAGUCCUUGUUAGCCGUCUUUCUCUUCUAUGCCUUAUCUUGUGAAUCCCAUAAAAGGUGAUAACUCUAGUUCAUGAUACCCAAAGAACUAUAUCUACCAAAAUAUAUUCAACUAUAUCUAUUAAAAAAUUAUAUGCCCCUAGAUUUUCCGAGUAUUUAUUAAUUAAGAGUUGUGAGACUUGAUUGAUAGUUAUUGGUGCCCUAUACAGUGAGUACAGGAGAGUUUGCUUUAAUUUUACAGCAGCAAAACUUUAUUAUUGAGUUAUUUAUCAAUAAAAGAAGAGUUAGAAACGAAACUUCUAUCUCCUACUAUAUAAAUCACUAAGAGCAAUAGAAAGCAAGACAAAAACAAACUUAGUGUAAACUAAUCCUCUUUUGAAUCCUGGGGGUUUUUGUUUACCCGACUCUCAAAAUCAUAAGAAGGAACCACAAAUUACCAAAAAGUGAUAGAGGAUGGCAUAGCCACAGGUGAACAUAGUUUUCCUUACAUGUCCUAAAAUCAUUUUUGGUUUGUUAUGAACAAACACAUCAUUUACAUAAUCAUUGAUGCAAUGUCAAAGUAUUUUGUGCAGCUGUCCUUACUGUCAGACUAGGCUAAGACUAAGGACCGCUGUGGUAGAGACCAUAGUCUAGUGGAAAUAGAAACAGAAUCUUCGAGACUGAGGUGUUAAAGUGCUUCAAGAAACUGAUGACAAUUUUUUAGGAUGUUCCUGAUAACGAAUCUUUUCAGCUAAAGAGGGGGAGGUCAAGCAUGCCUACCUGCCAAGUUCUCCAUACAGUAGGUCACUCAAGAAAUAGGAGCAAAGUAAAGGGCACCCUUUUUCCAUAUGUGAAGGCACUAAUACAAAUAAAAUAGAUGUUGGACCUGUCACAUUCCAAAAGUUAAAUUAAAACCUAAGGAAAAACCUACAAGCAAGUGUCAUACAGCCUUCAGAUGAUAUUCUACAAGUACAUUCUGUGAAGGGUCCAGCCCUAAGAGCAAACUCAAUCCAGGAAUAUCGUUUGUUUUGAAUUAGUUGUGCUGAUUUAGGAUGGAAGAGUUAACAAGAACAUAGCUUAAGUAAACAAAUUUCCCUCUGUUCAGGUUUUAGCGGGUGAAGUA
This is a long non-coding RNA of Nematostella vectensis (starlet sea anemone), 1220 nucleotides long. RefSeq lists it as uncharacterized. NCBI's taxonomy places the organism in Eukaryota, Metazoa, Cnidaria, Anthozoa, Actiniaria, Edwardsiidae. The record is from RefSeq and is a predicted model, not a curated record. The transcript has 2 exons.